Molecule: ribosomal RNA, 490 nt
Filed under: uncultured bacterium
Lineage: Bacteria
Description: partial 16S ribosomal RNA
Rfam family: Bacterial small subunit ribosomal RNA
Source: RNAcentral
AUUGAACGCUGGCGGCAGGCCUAACACAUGCAAGUCGAACGGUAACAGGAAGAAGCUUGCUUCUUUGCUGACGAGUGGCGGACGGGUGAGUAAUGUCUGGGAAACUGCCUGAUGGAGGGGGAUAACUACUGGAAACGGUAGCUAAUACCGCAUAACGUCGCAAGACCAAAGAGGGGGACCUUCGGGCCUCUUGCCAUCGGAUGUGCCCAGAUGGGAUUAGCUAGUAGGUGGGGUAACGGCUCACCUAGGCGACGAUCCCUAGCUGGUCUGAGAGGAUGACCAGCCACACUGGAACUGAGACACGGUCCAGACUCCUACGGGAGGCAGCAGUGGGGAAUAUUGCACAAUGGGCGCAAGCCUGAUGCAGCCAUGCCGCGUGUAUGAAGAAGGCCUUCGGGUUGUAAAGUACUUUCAGCGGGGGGGAAGGGAGUAAAGUUAAUACCUUGGCUCAUUGACGUUACCCGCAGAAGAAGCACCGGCUAACUCCGUG